GCCUGGCUCGGCGACCGUCAUGCAAUGACGUCAGAGACCGCGCGGGCGGCAUCGCUCGGCGCUCACGCGAACUGCCCUUUCUCUCACGCGGGUGACUCGUGGUACGAGCUGCGCGUUUCGAUUUCUUCCCCUGCACAUUAUCCCGUUACCUAUCAUUUCAAGGUCCCGUGAGCUGCCGACACUUCCGAAAGCGUGACGCACACUCACGAGCAGUUCCUGGAACUGUCGGCUCGACACCACGCAUCCGGAGUAGUACAUGCCGUGCACUUGUUACCAGGCGACAUAGGCGUUGCCAUGCGUUCCAGAGUGAAAUUUAAGCCCUUCUUCAAUUUUCACCAGCCACAACUACGGCGACCAUCAUCUUCCGAGUUGGAAUGUCCGUCGUGACUUUAACAGCUCCACUAACCUUCACGUUUCUCGCGUGGUCCAGGGUGUGGGAGAUCUGGAUAAAUCACUGCAACCAUUGUCAAAAACCAGUCACCUUCCCAUAGAAGAAAUGGUCACCGCCGAAAGCUCGUGCAAGCCGAGAGGCACUGCUGGGUGUAGAAGUGCCCUACGACGCAGCGCGACAACAAACAAGCAAAAUCGCCACCUGUGUGAGCUGCUACGGAGCAGCAACGGUGAGCGCUGUCGAACGCUCACCUAGCACAAGAAAAAAAAAAAAUCUAUACAAGCAAGGGACGCGACCCCCCCAUUUUUUCCGCAACCUUUCUUUCAGGAACGCCACAUGAGCCAAACGUGCCACAGGAGGAGCUUGUCUAAAACAAAAAUGUCUACUCUCUCUCUCUCUCUUUGAUACUGGCAUAAAGCAUCAUUAAUCUUU
Molecule: long non-coding RNA, 823 nt
Organism: Ornithodoros turicata
Lineage: Eukaryota; Metazoa; Arthropoda; Arachnida; Ixodida; Argasidae
Exons: 3
Source: RefSeq, a predicted model, not a curated record